RNAcentral lists this ribosomal RNA (500 nucleotides) under uncultured bacterium. Its description in RNAcentral is "partial 16S ribosomal RNA". It matches the Rfam family "Bacterial small subunit ribosomal RNA", at positions 29 to 523 of the family's 1533-position model. The record is from RNAcentral.
AUUGAACGCUGGCGGCAUGCCUUACACAUGCAAGUCGAACGGCAGCACGGGGGCAACCCUGGUGGCGAGUGGCGAACGGGUGAGUAACGCAUCGGAAUGUACCCAGUAGUGGGGGAUAACUAGUCGAAAGACUGGCUAAUACCGCAUACGCACUACGGUGGAAAGCGGGGGAUCGCAAGACCUCGCGCUAUUGGAGCAGCCGAUGUCCGAUUAGGUAGUUGGUGGGGUAAAAGCCUACCAAGCCUGCGAUCGGUAGCUGGUCUGAGAGGACGACCAGCCACACUGGGACUGAGACACGGCCCAGACUCCUACGGGAGGCAGCAGUGGGGAAUUUUGGACAAUGGGGGCAACCCUGAUCCAGCAAUGCCGCGUGUGUGAAGAAGGCCUUCGGGUUGUAAAGCACUUUUGGUGGGAGCGAAACGGCGCUUGCUAAUACCAGGCGCUAAUGACGGUACCCGCAGAAUAAGCACCGGCUAACUACGUGCCAGCCGCCGCAGUAA